Long non-coding RNA from Passer montanus (Eurasian tree sparrow), 239 nucleotides. RefSeq lists it as uncharacterized. Lineage: Eukaryota; Metazoa; Chordata; Aves; Passeriformes; Passeridae. The transcript has 3 exons. The record is from RefSeq and is a predicted model, not a curated record.
AUUUCCCGUCCCCAGCGCUGCCCCCGAGGAGUCGAGCUCGCGCUCGCCGUCCCCCAAGCAGAAGAAGAAGAAGAAGAAGAAGGAUCGGGGCAGGUCCGCCAGCCGCUCCGGGGAGAGGAAGAAGAGCAAGAAGAAGAAGCACAGGUCUGAAUCCGAGGCCAAGAAGCGAAAGCACCGGUAAGGAGGGGGAGGGGCAGCUGAGGGGGGGUGGGCGUGGUCUCAGGGUGGGCGUGGCCUCC